RNAcentral lists this long non-coding RNA (203 nucleotides) under Capsicum annuum. RNAcentral describes it as "long non-coding RNA (CANN_LNC002354)". The record is from RNAcentral. Lineage: Eukaryota; Viridiplantae; Streptophyta; Magnoliopsida; Solanales; Solanaceae.
AUUUAUUGACUUUAUUAUUAUAUAGAGGUAUUGUGAACAACUGUGAACUUAGGUAUGAGUAGUUAUUAUAAUGAAUCUAAUGUUGACUUAUGUUAUUAUAUUUGCUAUAUUGAUAUGUUAGUUGAAGUUUCUUUCACUCCUAUGGUAUGAUGAAAUGUUUGGAAUGGGUUAUCGGGGCGACCUCCGAUUUAUAUAAGCUUGAG